This 228-nucleotide unclassified non-coding RNA is filed under the name Hevea brasiliensis (rubber tree). Lineage: Eukaryota; Viridiplantae; Streptophyta; Magnoliopsida; Malpighiales; Euphorbiaceae. The record is from RNAcentral.
CGCCAUCACUAUCUUCCCCAUCGCUGGAUGAUAUCAGGGUCCCAGCGGUGCCCUCAUCGAUACCCCAAUCAUCAAGUAGCGAUAUGUUAAAUGUAUCCUCAUCAAGGGCCCUAACUUGAAAAAUCCUAUUUCGCAAUCGAUAACCACGCCGCUUUCUAACGUUUGAUAUAUUUAACUUGAAACCGUGAAAUAGAUUAGCGGUAAAAGGAGAAAAGGGCUUCCGAUAUC